RNAcentral lists this ribosomal RNA (1386 nucleotides) under uncultured bacterium. RNAcentral describes it as "bacterial SSU rRNA". It matches the Rfam family "Bacterial small subunit ribosomal RNA", at positions 27 to 1404 of the family's 1533-position model. The record is from RNAcentral.
GAUUGAACGCUGGCGGUAUGCUUAACACAUGCAAGUCGAACGGAAACGAUACUAGCUUGCUAGUAGGCGUCGAGUGGCGGACGGGUGAGUAACGCGUAGGAAUCUGCCUGAUAGUGGGGGAUAGCCCGAAGAAAUUCGGAUUAAUACCGCAUAAUCUAUUCGUAGUAAAGUGGGGGACUUUCGAGCCUCACGCUAUCAGAUGAGCCUGCGUAAGAUUAGCUAGUUGGUAGGGUAAAAGCCUACCAAGGCAACGAUCUUUAGCUGGUCUGAGAGGAUGAUCAGCCACAUCGGGACUGAGACACGGCCCGAACUCCUACGGGAGGCAGCAGUGGGGAAUAUUGGACAAUGGGGGCAACCCUGAUCCAGCAAUACCGCGUGUGUGAAGAAGGCCUGAGGGUUGUAAAGCACUUUCAAUUGUGAAGAAAAGUUAACGGUUAAUAACCGUUAGCCUUGACGUUAACUUUAGAAGAAGCACCGGCUAACUCCGUGCCAGCAGCCGCGGUAAUACGGAGGGUGCAAGCGUUAAUCGGAAUUACUGGGCGUAAAGCGUGCGUAGGCGGUUUAUUAAGUCAGAUGUGAAAGCCCCGGGCUUAACCUGGGAACUGCAUUUGAAACUGGUCAACUAGAGUAUGGUAGAGGAAAGUGGAAUUUCUGGUGUAGCGGUGAAAUGCGUAGAUAUCAGAAGGAACAUCAAUGGCGAAGGCAGCUUUCUGGACCAAUACUGACGCUGAGGUACGAAAGCGUGGGUAGCAAACAGGAUUAGAUACCCUGGUAGUCCACGCCGUAAACGAUGAUAACUAGCCGUUGGGGGGAUUUACCCUUUAGUGGCGAAGCUAACGCGUUAAGUUAUCCGCCUGGGGAGUACGGCCGCAAGGUUAAAACUCAAAGGAAUUGACGGGGACCCGCACAAGCGGUGGAGCAUGUGGUUUAAUUCGAUGCAACGCGAAGAACCUUACCUGGUCUUGACAUCCUGCGAACUUUCUAGAAAUAGAUUGGUGCCUUCGGGAACGCAGUGACAGGUGCUGCAUGGCUGUCGUCAGCUCGUGUCGUGAGAUGUUGGGUUAAGUCCCGUAACGAGCGCAACCCCUAUCCUUAUUUGCCAGCACGUCAUGGUGGGAACUAUAAGGAGACUGCCGGUGAUAAACCGGAGGAAGGCGGGGACGACGUCAAGUCAUCAUGGCCCUUACGACCAGGGCUACACACGUGCUACAAUGGGAAGGACAAAGAGCCGCGAAGCCGCGAGGUGUAGCUAAUCUCAGAAACCUUUUCGUAGUCCGGAUUGGAGUCUGCAACUCGACUCCAUGAAGUCGGAAUCGCUAGUAAUCGUAGAUCAGAAUGCUACGGUGAAUACGUUCCCGGGUCUUGUACACACCGCCCGUCAAGGGC